UAUUUUAUCAUGAAUGAUCCUGAAAAGGAUAUGCAUAUGCGAGUUAACUUUUUUUUUUUAUGCAUUAUAUUUUUUUUUUUGGAAAAUAAACAUGCUAUGAUGCAAAUGAUGGAGCCAAGACUGGCAGGUUGUGCAUCUCAGAAAACCGGAUCGAAGCUUCGGCUUGAACUCGGAGUCGCAAUUCAUCUGAAAUCCAAAGUCAAUCUGAUCAACUGGC
Molecule: long non-coding RNA, 217 nt
Filed under: Lathyrus oleraceus (garden pea)
Lineage: Eukaryota; Viridiplantae; Streptophyta; Magnoliopsida; Fabales; Fabaceae
Description: Pisum sativum (pea) long non-coding RNA (PSAT_LNC024268)
Source: RNAcentral